UACGUAGGGCGCAAGCGUUGUCCGGAAUUAUUGGGCGUAAAGAGCUCGUAGGCGGUUUGUCGCGUCUGCUGUGAAAACCUAAGGCUCAACCUUGGGCUUGCAGUGGGUACGGGCAGACUAGAGUGCGGUAGGGGUGACUGGAAUUCCUGGUGUAGCGGUGGAAUGCGCAGAUAUCAGGAGGAACACCGAUGGCGAAGGCAGGUCUCUGGGCGAUUAAACUGACGCUGGAGGAG
RNAcentral lists this ribosomal RNA (233 nucleotides) under uncultured bacterium. RNAcentral describes it as "partial 16S ribosomal RNA". It matches the Rfam family "Bacterial small subunit ribosomal RNA", at positions 524 to 753 of the family's 1533-position model. The record is from RNAcentral.